This 460-nucleotide ribosomal RNA is filed under the name uncultured Prevotella sp. RNAcentral's name for it is "bacterial SSU rRNA". It matches the Rfam family "Bacterial small subunit ribosomal RNA", at positions 338 to 795 of the family's 1533-position model. Lineage: Bacteria; Pseudomonadati; Bacteroidota; Bacteroidia; Bacteroidales; Prevotellaceae. The record is from RNAcentral.
CCUACGGGGGUCAGCAGUGAGGAAUAUUGGUCAAUGGAUGAGAAUCUGAACCAGCCAAGUAGCGUGCAGGAUGACGGCCCUAUGGGCUGUAAACUGCUUUUAUGCGGGGAUAAAGGAGCAUACGUGUAUGUUUUUGCAGGUACCGCAUGAAUAAGGACCGGCUAAUUCCGUGCCAGCAGCCGCGGUAAUACGGAAGGUCCGGGCGUUAUCCGGAUUUAUUGGGUUUAAAGGGAGCGCAGGCUGCCGGCUAAGCGUGUUGUGAAAUGCGGGGGCCCAACCUCCGGCGUGCAGCGCGGACUGGCCGGCUUGAGUACGCACGACGUCGGCGGAAUUUGCCGUGUAGCGGUGAAAUGCUCAGAUAUGGCGAAGAACUCCGAUUGCGAAGGCAGCUGACGGGAGCGCGACUGACGCUCAUGCUCGAAAGUGCGGGUAUCGAACAGGAUUAGAUACCCGGGUAGUC